CCUACGGGUGGCUGCAGUCUAGAGGCUUUGACAAUGCCCGAAAGGGUGAUCAAGCGACGCCGCGUGCGGGAUGAAGGUCUUCGGAUUGUAAACCGCUUUUCUUUGGGGAGAAGGCCCUGUUCGUGAAGCAGGGAUUGACGGUACCAGAGGAAUAAGCCCCGGCUAACUCCGUGCCAGCAGCCGCGGUAAGACGGAGGGGGCGAGCGUUGUUCGGAAUUAUUGGGCGUAAAGGGCUCGUAGGCGGACGGGUAAGUCUGGCGUGAAAUCUCCACCGC
This 275-nucleotide ribosomal RNA is filed under the name uncultured bacterium. RNAcentral describes it as "partial 16S ribosomal RNA". It matches the Rfam family "Bacterial small subunit ribosomal RNA", at positions 338 to 608 of the family's 1533-position model. The record is from RNAcentral.